GUCCCGGUCCUUUUCAGGACCAUCGAAAUUAGUUCCACAAGAGUUAU
Non-coding RNA from Aedes albopictus (Asian tiger mosquito), 47 nucleotides. NCBI's taxonomy places the organism in Eukaryota, Metazoa, Arthropoda, Insecta, Diptera, Culicidae. The record is from Rfam.